Molecule: transfer RNA, 76 nt
Filed under: Candidatus Uhrbacteria bacterium
Lineage: Bacteria; Candidatus Uhriibacteriota
Description: tRNA-Ala
Rfam family: tRNA
About the family: Transfer RNA (tRNA) molecules are approximately 80 nucleotides in length. Their secondary structure includes four short double-helical elements and three loops (D, anti-codon, and T loops). Further hydrogen bonds mediate the characteristic L-shaped molecular structure. tRNAs have two regions of fundamental functional importance: the anti-codon, which is responsible for specific mRNA codon recognition, and the 3' end, to which the tRNAs corresponding amino acid is attached (by aminoacyl-tRNA synthetases). tRNAs cope with the degeneracy of the genetic code in two manners: having more than one tRNA (with a specific anti-codon) for a particular amino acid; and 'wobble' base-pairing, i.e. permitting non-standard base-pairing at the 3rd anti-codon position.
Source: RNAcentral
GGGCCGUUAGCUCAGUUGGUAGAGCACCGCCUUUGCAAGGCGGGGGUCUAGGGUUCGAAUCCCUAACGGUCCACCA